GACGAACGCUGGCGGCGUGCCUAAUACAUGCCAGUUGAGCGCUGAAGGUUGGUACUUGUACCAACUGGAUGAGCAGCGAACGGGUGAGUAACGCGUGGGGAAUCUGCCUUUGAGCGGGGGACAACAUUUGGAAACGAAUGCUAAUACCGCAUAAAAACUUUAAACACAAGUUUUAAGUUUGAAAGAUGCAAUUGCAUCACUCAAAGAUGAUCCCGCGUUGUAUUAGCUAGUUGGUGAGGUAAAGGCUCACCAAGGCGAUGAUACAUAGCCGACCUGAGAGGGUGAUCGGCCACAUUGGGACUGAGACGCGGCCCAAACUCCUACGGGAGGCAGCAGUAGGGAAUCUUCGGCAAUGGACGAAAGUCUGACCGAGCAACGCCGCGUGAGUGAAGAAGGUUUUCGGAUCGUAAAACUCUGUUGGUAGAGAAGAACGUUGGUGAGAGUGGAAAGCUCAUCAAGUGACGGUAACUACCCAGAAAGGGACGGCUAACUACGU
This 496-nucleotide ribosomal RNA is filed under the name uncultured bacterium. RNAcentral's name for it is "partial 16S ribosomal RNA". It matches the Rfam family "Bacterial small subunit ribosomal RNA", at positions 28 to 506 of the family's 1533-position model. The record is from RNAcentral.